GGUCAAGCGAACAAGUGCAUGUGGUGGAUGCCUUGGCGAUCACAGGCGAUGAAGGACGCGGUAGCCUGCGAAAAGCUACGGGGAGCUGGCAAACAAGCUUUGAUCCGUAGAUGUCCGAAU
This 120-nucleotide ribosomal RNA is filed under the name Burkholderia cenocepacia. Its description in RNAcentral is "partial 23S ribosomal RNA". It matches the Rfam family "Bacterial large subunit ribosomal RNA", at positions 1 to 119 of the family's 2925-position model. The record is from RNAcentral. Lineage: Bacteria; Pseudomonadati; Pseudomonadota; Betaproteobacteria; Burkholderiales; Burkholderiaceae.